Molecule: transfer RNA, 77 nt
Filed under: Kurthia zopfii
Lineage: Bacteria; Bacillati; Bacillota; Bacilli; Caryophanales; Caryophanaceae
Also listed under: 1 other name
Description: tRNA-Arg(tct)
Rfam family: tRNA
About the family: Transfer RNA (tRNA) molecules are approximately 80 nucleotides in length. Their secondary structure includes four short double-helical elements and three loops (D, anti-codon, and T loops).
Source: RNAcentral
UGUCUCAGUAGCUCAGCUGGAUAGAGCAACGCCCUUCUAAGGCGUCGGUCGGGGGUUCGAAUCCCUCCUGGGACAUC